AUGGCGGCAGUAGCAGAAGCUGUUCUCCCGCCGCUGCUCCCGACGCCGCCCAGGAGCGAGAUGCUGCCGAUCCUCCCGACGCCGCCCAAGAGCAAGAUGCUGCCGCUGUUGCCGACGCCGCACGGUGUCGUCCUCACCAUGAGCCCCGGACGCGCCGACUCCGUCGAACGCUGGGACAGCAAGAAACUCGCGACCUCCACCAUGUCGUCGUCGUCGUCAUCGUCUUACAACGCCAGGAGCCCUGGACGCGCCGACUCCGUCGAACGCUGGGAUACCAAGAAACUCGCGAGCUCAUGCAGCGCGUUCCCGUCCACAGGUCGCGGCCGCCAUGACGGCAACAACAAGCGCCUGCCUAGCCCUGGCCCUGGCCGCGUGUCCUCGGCAGAGCGCUGGGACUUGCACAAGAAGAAGGCCGUGUUCGCGGGGCCCAGCUUCUACGCCUCGCCAGACCCGAGCAUGCUCCCCAUGCCCUCCUUCUUUCUGCGUGCACAUUAG
RNAcentral lists this ribosomal RNA (495 nucleotides) under Triticum aestivum (bread wheat). RNAcentral's name for it is "partial small subunit ribosomal RNA". The record is from RNAcentral. Lineage: Eukaryota; Viridiplantae; Streptophyta; Magnoliopsida; Poales; Poaceae.